This 3015-nucleotide ribosomal RNA is filed under the name Triticum aestivum (bread wheat). Its description in RNAcentral is "partial small subunit ribosomal RNA". Lineage: Eukaryota; Viridiplantae; Streptophyta; Magnoliopsida; Poales; Poaceae. The record is from RNAcentral.
CGGGGGUGGGGCGGGGGAGUGCGGGGUGGUCGCUGGUCGCGACGUUUGGUUGGGGGUGGCCACGACGGCUACCGCCGCUCUUCAUUGCCUCUCGGCGCCGCCGGCUGCAACUCCGCAACGUUGGUGCCGCUGUUCACUACCUCUAGGUAGUAAAAGAAAAGAACCUUCGUCGGGGUUAAAAACGACGUCUGCGGGAACUAAAAACGACCUUGGUCACAUUCUAAAACGAUGUUGGUACAAGAAAAAGAUACCUUGGUUGAGCUUCAAAACGACGGUACAGUAAAAGAAAAACCAUGUUGGCCAAAAGUUAAAACGAUGGUGGUAGAAGUCAAGAACGACCUUGGUUAAUUAAUAAAACGAUGGUGGUACAAGCAAAGAAAAAAUACCUUGGUUGGGUUUAAAAACGUUGGUACAGUAAACAAAAACUAUGUUGGUUACAUGUAAAAACGAUGUUGGUUGGAGCCAAAAACAACCUUGGUUAGUUAAUAAAACGAUGGUACAAAAAACCCCCCUUGGUCACGUAGUUAAAGAAACGAUGGUGGCAAACUCAAAAACGAUGUUGGUUACAAGAGUUAACGAUGUAGGUUGUGCGUAGUGUCACAGUACAUUAAACAACCUUGGUCGUUUGUAAGAACGAACUUCGCCGUACUAAAAAACAACCUUGGUCACAAAGAAAAACGACCUUGAUCGAUUAAAAAAACGAUGUUAGACGAUGACCUCAAAAACACGACAACUCUCAAAACGACCUUGGUAGUAAUAAAAAACGACCUUGGCCGUUUAAAAAAACGAAGUUGGGUCGUAACCUCUAAAAAUAACGAAAAAAACGAUCUGUACUGCGACGUUCAACUGUUACCGCCGCUCGGCCUCUGCCCCUGCGGUCCCUACGAGGUUGGUACUACUGUCGCGCGACCUUAGGAGGACACAAACUCAACGUUGGUACUGCUCGUCUCCGUCGGUUCCGUUCACAGCCUCUGCUGGCAGUCCGUUCGCCGUCCGCUCGCGCCCACUGCCCGCACCACCGCGCCACCUUUCGUUCGUGCCCUUCUGCUCCUGAUAGCGCUCGCCGGCCGCUCGUGUGUCUAGACCGUACGCGCGAGCGACAGGAAAAAAAACACAAAGGACACGCACAAAAAAAAAGACGUACAAACUGAAAAUUUUGUUUCGUUAGUCUGCCACCCCUUGCCUACAUAGCCCGCCGACCCCGAACUGGCCUGCUUGUCAAGCCGGCCACGCGGCCGCGGAUAUUCGCGGGAAUAGAAAUUCGUUGGUUAAACCUCAAAACCUGUGAAGUCUUUACCAUAGCUAAUUAGUCAGAAUAUAUUAAUUUGACGUCGUAGCUAGCUUCUACUUCCUUCGACGCUCGAGUUUAAUAGUGCGCGCCUUUGUUUUAGCUUGGGGAAAAACACAUCCCCUUCUUUGGAUCGAUUAAACGUUCCUUUUUUUUACGACGAACGAGUUCGCGUUUCCGCUUCUUGACCCCGCUCCUGCUCGUUCGCCGUGUAUGGAUGAUGCACGUGGCAGCGGGUGCCCUUCUCGGGCAGAGCGACCGCCGCGCCUGCCUCUCUCGCCCUUCGUUGGCCACCGCUACGGCUGCCGCUGCCGCCAGAGCUCAGGUGGCCGGCGGCGUGCCGUGCUCGUCUUUUCCUUCCUCUCUCUCUGGUAGGCGGAGAGGCUCAAGGAUGGGCGAGCAUGACCCGAGUAAAAUCCAACCCGAACCACCCGAGAACCCGACCACAACCCGGAAUGUCCGCCCGGUCCGAUCUCCGGACCAUAACGCCAGGCCGGACGCUGCCGGUCGGGACUACCUUUUCCGGCGGGAGACCGGCAGCCUCCGCGGUGACCGAGCGGCCGUCCUUUUCUCCGUUGUAGAGGUUGAGGCACUGCCGCUGCCGCUCCCAUCCUCCUCCUCUACUUCGACUUCGUCGACCUCCCGGACGACCCCCCGGACUGGGUCAAGAGGCUGGGGUUCCACCUCGACCUCGUCAUGCGCUGCCCGGGGGUGUAGCGCAGCUCCUACGAGAUGUGCCGGCUCUUGUCGAAGCUGCUGUAUCGACCAUUUCACCACCGCCUAAAACCCACGCCGACACCAUGGGACCGGCAGCGCUCACGAGACGACCUACGACUCGUACAGUGACCAUAACUAUAACUGGAGGUCAGGGAACUUGAACGAGUUCUUUUACGAUGACUAGAUCUCGACCUAUAGCUGAAUUAAGUCACACUGUAUUUCUUGAAUUUAAAUUUUCCGGAAGAACAACUAUGACAACAGUACUUAGGAGGGAAACCCUGUUUUUCUUUUCCUCGGCUGUACCUUAAGGAAAGAUACCCGAACUUCCAACGUAGAGUUCGACAGAUAAGAGAUGUGUUCUGAAGGUGUGCUCUUAUGUAGUUCUUCCGUCGGGACGCAUUAACGUUGCGUCAGUCACGACUUCAAGACACACUCGACGCGAUACUAGAUGGAGCCUGGAUGUCCAAGGUGUUCGUUUUCCUCGAGCUAUAACGUCAGCUAGACACCGCGAAGCAGGGUGUUCGAGCUCUGCUUUCCCGUUCGAUCGUCGGAUCGUACUGCGCCGUUACACUGCUCCGGCACUGUAGUGCGAACAACUUGGUGGUGUCGCACUACCGACCUGAACGAUCUUCUUCUUUUGGGGUCAUCUAGUCGUCGGUAUGGGUGGGACCCGUCACUAUCCCGAAAGGCCGUGUAACCGUCCGUCCUAACCACGAGAGAGACAUGGUCGUGAACAAGUCAAAAAAGAACAAGAUAUGAGGAUGAUAGUCUCUUUUUGUCGCAGACCCUUGUUUUAAGUCGCAAUUUAGCCGCUCGUAGCAGAGACGCGGGUCAAUGAGAGAUGUUUCACCUUUAAAAACGACGCUCAUUAAGUGUCGCAUGUGAGUAGACAAAAAAAAGGAAAACAUCUUGUGUGCUGUAACAAAACGAUUUGUAAAAUCAGAAACACCCAGACAGAUCCUGUGUAGAUCUACACCGUAUCAAUACAGUGUAGAUUCGACUAAAAGUGA